UUUUGGAUGUUAACUCCCAGAAGGCUCUGCUGCCUUGGCCAAAGAUCAGGGAUUUUGGGAGACAAAGUCCAAAAACACCUGAAAGACCAGAGUUGGAGAAAUACUGCUUUAGCAAAAAACAAUUUCUUGAAUAAAGGCACAUCAUUUGUUGCCUUUCUCAGAUUUCUCUUUUCUUUCUCCCUUAACGUUGCUCUUUCAUUUCCCCACCUUUGAGGACAGAUAUGAAACAAAGCAAAAGGGAAAGUGAAAGCCGUUAUAAUCUACUUUUUGUUUUGAGCAGGCAAUCUGAGGUUUGCAGCCCAGACUUUCUGACAUGAAAGAUGAACAUACUGGGAGAAAAAGACAUUUGGACAUUGCCAAGCCUGUACAACCCACCUGGAUUAGAGGGACUGCUUACUGACCAUUUUUUAUUUUGCUUGCCAAGCUACUUGAGGGGCUCUGAGAACAUCUGAAUCCAUGACAUAUUGGCUGGUGACAUGUUGUUCCAUGUGGAAUCAAAGAAGCAAAAAAUAUACAUGGAUUAUUUGGAAAUUAUCUCUCCUUUGAAGUUUAUGAGAAGUGAGAAAGACUUGGAAAGGGUGUUUCAAAAUGAUGAACCUGAUUUGAAAUCGCUGUAUCUCUGCAACCAGGAAGUGCCCAUGAAUGAAAGCUUUACCACUUGAAAGAGCGGGGUAUAGAAGCACUAUGCCACUAGAAGCAGGCCACAGAUGAGAAACAGGAAGAGAAAAAUGGUUAACAUACAAAGAGCUUUUGAAAAAACAAGAGGGAGAGAUAACAUUGAAAACCCAAAAUGAAAUUAAGUCAAUUGGAAGAAGGAAUUUCAUGGUUUCAAUGCAGACAAAUUAGAGAAUAUUAUAUGAAAGAUAAGAAAGUGGGAUUCAUAAAAAAGGAAGACUUUUGGGACAGAAUCAUGAAAAAAGAGAAUAAAUUGAUAACAAAAAUAUAUAAAAAACUAUUAGAAUGGUCUACAGAAACUGAACAAAUAAAAGAACAUAUGACCAAAUGGGCUGCAAACAUUGGCCAUACAAUUAAAUUAGAAGAAUGGGGAAAGAUAUGGAACCAGAAAACAAGAUGGACCUAUGCUUAUGAUUUAAAGGAGAACUGGCUAAAAUGAUGUACAGAUGGUACAUCACCCCCCAGAUACUCUCAAAAGUGUAUCCAAAAAUGAACAACAAAUGUUGGAAAUGUGAUGAACAAAAACGGGAUCCUUCUACCAUAUGUGGUGGAGUUGUAAAAUAGCCCAAAAAUAUUGGAAAGAUAUACACGAAGAGAUAGAAAAAUCAUUAAAAAUAAACUUGCCACUAAAACCAGAACUCCUCCUACUUGGAAUAGCAGAGCCAGGCAUGGAAGAGAACAAAGAAAAACUCAUCCAUUAUCUAACAACAGCAGCAAGAAUGAACUAUGCAUGUCAUUGGAGGAUGAAGGAAAUACCAUCAAAAAAACAAUGGGUUUUGAAAAUAAUGGACAUAAUGAAUAUGGACAUUCUAACAUAGAUGAUGAAAAACAAUGAAUUUUUCAAAAGUAAAAUGAUGAACUAGUCAUUAAUUAAAGACUAUAUGAUCCAAGAAAAUAUUAAAUUGAUAGUUGAAAUAUACAAAGACUUAUAUAUAUAGGAGAGACAAGAAAAGGAAAAAGCCGAUCGAGACUAGAAUUUAAGAAAACCAAGAAGGAAAGUAACCACAAUAGAGAAGAUUGGAAGCCAAACUCUUCAAUCCCCUCCACCCUUACUACCCUAUUUCUCUCCUUAAACACUUCCUGUAGAUUCCCCUUUAGCUGGUAGAUACCUAGGAAAUACCCAAUAACCAACGUUCCUUAUCCCUACCCUACCCCAUACUUUUCACUUUUUGUAAAUAUAAACCUUCAAUUAAAAUCUUUUUUUUAAAAAAGAAAGAGUGGGGCAUAGAGAUUCCAAUGAUUACCACUAGAUAACUCUCCCAAAGCACAAAAAACAAAAAACCCUAGCCUCAGUAAUUCGCAAUAUGGAGAUAAUGCAACAUAAGGUCUAAGGAGAUAUUCUCCAUUUGCAGAGUUGUUUUUUAGAUUUGUUUCUGGCUCAACGUGGUUAGGAAAACCUGAUACCUUGAGAACUCAUUAAAUCAUUUGCAACAUUUUGCGUAAUUGUAACAUGUUGACAUCAUUAAAUGCACUGCUUUGAAAGUGUGCCUAUCAUUUUGAAAAACCCUGUAUUGUGCUAAGGCAGUGGUUCUCGACCUGUGGCUCCCCAGGUGUUUUGGCUUACAACUCCCAGAAAUCUCAGCUAGUUUAUCAGCUGUUAGGAUUUCUAGGAGUUGAAGGCCAAAACAUCUGGGGACCCACAGGUUGAAAACUGCUGUGCUAAGCCAUCUUGUUCGCAAAACUCUGCUGCUCCAUGCAUUUCUAUAGGGCACUGAAUCAGGUAUCUGGUCCAAGGCUAAUUGUCUUAUUAUUAUGUAUUAAUAUUUGGAGAGGUCUGUUCUGCUAGUAUUCAUUUAUUGAGGCAACAGUAACAAAACCUAAAAGGUGUUUUAUUGCAGGCACUGUUGUAAAGAAAUAGUGGGGGUACAUUGCCUCUUGGACUACUGCUUAUCUAGUACUGUAGUUUACUCUAGAUCAGCUAUACUAUGUUAGAAAUGACAACCUUCAUCAAGCCUUCUCUAGCAAUUUGUUUGUCUAUUAUCUUGUUGCUUACUGUUUCCUGCAUGUAUGUUUUGUUGUGCAGUUUCCUUUACUCUAUGGUUUCUGAGAAGUUAUAAAAGGGGCUGCAGACCACAUUCUCUCUUCAUCUCUCUCCUUUUGACAAUGUGACCUGUUGAUAGCUGUUCUGUUAUAAGAGAGAUGCCCUGGCUGGCUGACACAGGGAACCAUCUCAAAGAUAUUUGAAACUGGACUAAUACGUUUUGUACCUGUGUAUGCUGAACACAUGAAAGUUGUGAGUAAACCAAAUAUGUUAUUUCCAUCAAA
Long non-coding RNA from Anolis carolinensis (green anole), 2940 nucleotides. RefSeq lists it as uncharacterized. NCBI's taxonomy places the organism in Eukaryota, Metazoa, Chordata, Lepidosauria, Squamata, Anolidae. The record is from RefSeq and is a predicted model, not a curated record. The transcript is spliced from 2 exons.